GAUGAACGCUGGCGGCGUGCCUAAUACAUGCAAGUAGAACGCUGAAGCUUGGUGCUUGCACCGAGCGGAUGAGUUGCGAACGGGUGAGUAACGCGUAGGUAACCUGCCUCUUAGCGGGGGAUAACUAUUGGAAACGAUAGCUAAUACCGCAUAAAAGUCGAUAUCGCAUGAUAUUGAUUUGAAAGGUGCAAAUGCAUCACUAAGAGAUGGACCUGCGUUGUAUUAGCUAGUUGGUGAGGUAACGGCUCACCAAGGCGACGAUACAUAGCCGACCUGGGAGGGUGAUCGGCCACACUGGGACUGAGACACGGCCCAGACUCCUACGGGAGGCAGCAGUAGGGAAUCUUCGGCAAUGGGGGCAACCCUGACCGAGCAACGCCGCGUGAGUGAAGAAGGUUUUCGGAUCGUAAAGCUCUGUUGUAAGAGAAGAACGAGUGUGAGAGUGGAAAGUUCACACUGUGACGGUAACUUACCAGAAAGGGACGGCUAACUACGUG
This 497-nucleotide ribosomal RNA is filed under the name uncultured bacterium. RNAcentral's name for it is "partial 16S ribosomal RNA". It matches the Rfam family "Bacterial small subunit ribosomal RNA", at positions 28 to 507 of the family's 1533-position model. The record is from RNAcentral.